UGCAGUGAAGUCAUUACACUGCGUCCAGCCACAGAGCAGCCUCUGUUUGACUCCUCAGCUCCUGUUUAACCACUUCCCUCCAAACAGAUCCUCCACCAUGUGUAUGCUGAGAAGCUGCCCAGGCCAGACAAGCAGAUGUUCUACAGACUUUGGAUCCUGACAGCCCAUUCUCCAACUAUUUCUGACGGCUAAAUAAUCUGUCAGUGCCAAAGCAGCAUAUUUAACUUAAGGGUUGCCAGAAAUCAGAUACCCACGCCUUUCUUCUUAAGGAGUACAAGGAUAUGAAAAACAGGAGAAGUAGCAUCAUCCACUGCCAGAUACACUCACAUCCUCCUUGUACACAGCAUGAAUAUCAUGAGUUUCACAGCAGAUGACUGCACGGAGGAGCUGGGAAAAGGAAGGAAAUCUUUGCUACUUUACCAGUAAUUUGUCAGACAAGACCACUGCUUUAUACAUUUUUGAACCCCCAUGGCCUUCCACGUUACUUGUAGGUGAGCAGCAAACUUGCCCCCAGUGCCUGCCAAAUUAAACUGCAGCUCCUUGAGAGCCCCUGUGAACAGCUCCCGUGAAGCGCAGUGCUCAUAAACACCUUCCUGCAAUUCACAGAGAUCUCUUUAAUAAAUUAACAAAGCUGUCACAGAAGUAUAAAUGGGAAAUCAUUUUUUUAAAUAGAACCAUUUAAGAUCACACAAUUUCAGAAGCCUUUUGCAACAUUUUGUAAUUCCUUUAGGCCACUGCAGGUCUCCUUUACACUUGUGACGAUGCCCCUUUCAAUUUGCAUUUAAAAGACAGUAAAUUGCAGGGUCCAUAAACAUUUUUAUAGUGAUUUAUUGAAGACCAGAAUGUCACUCCUGUUCUUCACACUUUAGCAGUCCUGGGAAUCGGCUGCAGGGCUGUAUGUGUAAUCUUGCUUUACCCAUAAACUAUACAAGAACAAGCCAGUUCUGAAACCUAUUAUUUAUUUAUUUUUUCUUGCUUAAAAGACAUUUGUGGCACUAUUUUACAUCUAUAUUUAUCUUUCAGUUAUAAGAUGACCCAUUUUAUUCAGCCUUCAAGUUAUAACCAGGUUUUCACAAUUUACAAAGUACUUGGUUUGCAAAUUAGAAUUGUUCAGAGACAGGAUUGCAUUAUGCCAAGGAACAAAGGAUUCUUUCUCUUCUCUUUUUAAUAAAACACACAAAAUCCAAAGAAUAUUGGAUUUAUUAUCACCACUAGAUAACUUUACCAUACAGGAAUGUACUGAAAUUCUUUUUUUAUUUAAAAUCUAAACCACAGAAAUGCACUGUGAAACUUCAGCUGGAGAAUAUUCUAAGGUUCUGCUCCUUCAAAGACAAAAGGGAAAACGUUCAUUGCAAUUGGACCUCUGAUACUCCUAUCCUCCUUCACAGGCAACAAAGUCACAAAAGAAGGUAAACAGUGCCAAGAAGUGUUGUUUAUAAGGGCACUGUGAUCUUUCCUGCAUCCCAGUGGAGCUUUACCAGGGGGAAUCUAGAAACCUCUCUGCACAAACAGUGUAGGGGGAAAAAAAAAAAAAACACAAGGAAGAAAAAAAAAAAAGACUGCACCUCAUUUGCCCUUCCAGUGACCAGGAGGGAGUAUUUCUUUCUACUUUUUUCACAUUACAAUAAUGGCUUCACAGCUCUUGAAAAGAGCGCUAGUGCACCAGCAAAUGGUGCAUGACACGCUGAAGCCCUGGUCUUUGUCGCAACAGCUCCGCUCCAAAGAAAGUCCUUCCUUGCCUUCUUUUCCUUGCCAUUAACUGUGAUGAAAUGAGUUUUUCCCCCUUUUGAUUCCACCCCCCUCGCUGUCUAUUACAGUCUGACCUGAUUGCACUUAUGCACAGAUUAUUUCAUAGAGACAUCCUUUUAUUCAGGUUUGCGAGUUUGCCUGCAAGGUUAUCUGUUCACAAAGCAACGCCUCAUUCCUCGUACUCAUUUUUUUUGAAAUCUGAUCUCAUUGAUAAGAACAAGACCAUUCGCAUUGCAUUUGUCAGAUAAGUAGCUCCAUGCCAGAGUAAUAAUUUUUUGUGACUAUUGUCAGGGCUCCAGUUAAAAUACAUCAACCGAUAAAAAUGCAAGUAUUGUAAAAAUAACCUUGCAUCAGAAGUGUUGGCCCUCCAGUUUUUCCAAGGAAUGUUAUGUCCUUUCCCUUAAUAACAAUCUAUUAUAGUCAGAGCAUCUUCACUUUUUCACAAGAAUUAUUUUUAAGAAUUAUUUUAAAAUAUUCCUACUGUGGUGCUGCCAUUGGUAGCACGGAACUUGAAAGGAAAUAAAUAAGUAGAGAGGAUCAA
Corvus hawaiiensis (hawaiian crow) is the source of this 2290-nucleotide long non-coding RNA. RefSeq lists it as uncharacterized. The record is from RefSeq and is a predicted model, not a curated record. NCBI's taxonomy places the organism in Eukaryota, Metazoa, Chordata, Aves, Passeriformes, Corvidae. The transcript has 3 exons.